ACUUUAUUAACUUAACAACAGAGCUCACACACUUAACGAUUACAUUCCUUUCUUACAUGGUACAAAGUAAAGCCUAAAUUCCAAACCACACACCUUCAUCCACUAGGGAUUUCUUAUCCUUCUCUUGUUCGCCCAACAACCUAACUCAUGGACAAUCUUUAGGCUUUUCACCAUUUGUUCAGCUCUUCCACUCGUUGUCUUGGGCCGCACAGAAUAGGGAUGCUGCCCUCGAUACUUCUUCAAAACUGAGAUUGGGUUACAAAUAUUUCCUGAUAGUUUGAACAUCUCUUUGUAUUGUUUGCAUAUUCUUUGUAUCUUUUCUUGAAACGACAAUCUAAUUUUCGAACUCCCAUCAAGCACAAAGGAGU
RNAcentral lists this long non-coding RNA (368 nucleotides) under Cucumis sativus (cucumber). RNAcentral describes it as "long non-coding RNA (CSAT_LNC000786)". Lineage: Eukaryota; Viridiplantae; Streptophyta; Magnoliopsida; Cucurbitales; Cucurbitaceae. The record is from RNAcentral.